AGCGAACGCUGGCGGCAGGCCUAACACAUGCAAGUCGAACGGACCCUUCGGGGUUAGUGGCGGACGGGUGAGUAACACGUGGGAACGUGCCUUUAGGUUCGGAAUAGCUCCUGGAAACGGGUGGUAAUGCCGAAUGUGCCCUUCGGGGGAAAGAUUUAUCGCCUUUAGAGCGGCCCGCGUCUGAUUAGCUAGUUGGUGAGGUAAUGGCUCACCAAGGCGACGAUCAGUAGCUGGUCUGAGAGGAUGACCAGCCACACUGGGACUGAGACACGGCCCAGACUCCUACGGGAGGCAGCAGUGGGGAAUCUUGCGCAAUGGGCGAAAGCCUGACGCAGCCAUGCCGCGUGAAUGAUGAAGGUCUUAGGAUUGUAAAAUUCUUUCACCGGGGACGAUAAUGACGGUACCCGGAGAAGAAGCCCCGGCUAACUUCGUG
RNAcentral lists this ribosomal RNA (433 nucleotides) under uncultured bacterium. RNAcentral's name for it is "partial 16S ribosomal RNA". It matches the Rfam family "Bacterial small subunit ribosomal RNA", at positions 29 to 507 of the family's 1533-position model. The record is from RNAcentral.